This 497-nucleotide ribosomal RNA is filed under the name uncultured bacterium. RNAcentral describes it as "partial 16S ribosomal RNA". It matches the Rfam family "Bacterial small subunit ribosomal RNA", at positions 28 to 507 of the family's 1533-position model. The record is from RNAcentral.
GAUGAACGCUGGCGGCGUGCCUAAUACAUGCAAGUCGAGCGAACGGACGAGAAGCUUGUUUCUCUGAUGUUAGCGGCGGACGGGUGAGUAACACGUGGAUAACCUACCUAUAAGACUGGGAUAACUUCGGGAAACCGGUGCUAAUACCGGAUCAUAUUUUGAACCGCAUGGUUCAAAAGUGAAAGACGGUCUUGCUGUCUCUUAUAGAUGGAUCCGCGUUGCAUUCGUUAGUUGGUAAGGUAACGGCUUACCAAGGCAACGGUGCAUAGCCGACCUGAGAGGGUGGACGGCCACACUGGAACUUGAGCACGGUCCAAGCCCCUACGGGAGGCAGCAGUAGGGAAUCUUCCGCAAUGGGCGAAAGCCUGACGGAGCAACGCCGCGUGAGUGAUGAAGGUCUUCGGAUCGUAAAACUCUGUUAUUAGGGAAAAACAUAUGUGUAAGUAACUGUGCACAUCUUGACGGUACCUAAUCAGAAAGCCACGGCUAACUACGUG